Small nuclear RNA from Mangifera indica (mango), 102 nucleotides. The record is from RefSeq and is a predicted model, not a curated record. Lineage: Eukaryota; Viridiplantae; Streptophyta; Magnoliopsida; Sapindales; Anacardiaceae.
GUCCCUUCGGGGGCUUUUCAUGAAGGUGGAAAAAUACUGAGAAUAUUAGCAUGGGUCUGAUGCAAGGAUGAGAUACACAAAGGAGUAUAGGUGUAAUUUUAU